Molecule: ribosomal RNA, 467 nt
Filed under: uncultured bacterium
Lineage: Bacteria
Description: partial 16S ribosomal RNA
Rfam family: Bacterial small subunit ribosomal RNA
Source: RNAcentral
ACGCACGCUGGCGGCGUGCUUCACACAUGCAAGUCGAACGGAAAGGCCCUGCUUUUGUGGGGUGCUCGAGUGGCGAACGGGUGAGUAACACGUGAGUAACCUGCCCUUGACUUUGGGAUAACUUCAGGAAACUGGGGCUAAUACCGGAUAGGAGCUCCUGCUGCAUGGUGGGGGUUGGAAAGUUUCGGCGGUUGGGGAUGGACUCGCGGCUUAUCAGCUUGUUGGUGGGGUAGUGGCUUACCAAGGCUUUGACGGGUAGCCGGCCUGAGAUGGUGACCGGCCACAUUGGGACUGAGAUACGGCCCAGACUCCUACGGGAGGCAGCAGUGGGGAAUAUUGCACAAUGGGCGGAAGCCUGAUGCAGCAACGCCGCGUGCGGGAUGACGGCCUUCGGGUUGUAAACCGCUUUCGCCUGUGACGAAGCGUGAGUGACGGUAAUGGGUAAAGAAGCACCGGCUAACUACGUG